This is a long non-coding RNA of Papaver somniferum (opium poppy), 2106 nucleotides long. RefSeq lists it as uncharacterized. The transcript is spliced from 8 exons. The record is from RefSeq and is a predicted model, not a curated record. NCBI's taxonomy places the organism in Eukaryota, Viridiplantae, Streptophyta, Magnoliopsida, Ranunculales, Papaveraceae.
CAGCUGGGAUUCAUGGAUAUUGUCAACUGAUGGCCGGGAUCUUCCCUCCCCAUCCCAGUUAUAAUCAACCCGAGCAAUAAUUCUGCGUUCCGCUUAUCUUUACUUCUCCAUCUCUCGCUAUUCAAUGCAUCCCGAGUUUUACUCUUCUUCAUUCUUUAACGCUUUUUUUCCUAAAUCAAUUAAAACCUCGGCAAAGAAAAACCCUCGAAAUUCCGAUGAAUUAUUGUUUUGCAGCGUUAAAUUAAAACGCCUCCAGGAAGAAUUUAAUUGCUCCUCCAUGUAUAUCUUUUCUCUUCUCAAACGAUCGAUUGGAGACCCAAAUUACCUCCCCACUUUGAAGAGGUACGUCUUCCCUCAUUAUUCCUUUUCGUUUUCUGAUUAACCAUGAUGUACCAAUCUGUUUCGACCAUGUUUUUUUUUGUUGGUCUAAUCGUCUUCAAACUCAUGGUAACACAACGAAAUGUCGCUUGAAUCUGUUAUAUUAACAUUGUAAAAUCUCUACUGCUUCCUCUUUAUGUUUUACUUAUUUUUAUCCUCAAAUAAUAGAAACAUCUUGGUAAAAUAUUUGUUGCUUUCUCAAAUCUUCAUCCGUGAAGAAAGGGAUGAAGAAACAAUUGCCAGAAAUCUAUCAGGUAUGUGGUAUAAAUUUUGGAUUAAGCUCUCUAACAUGAGUUUUGAUUUUUGUGGUUCUUUACUAAUGAAAUCCAAACUCUUGAAAUUGUCCUACUGGGAUAGCGCCUGCUAAGAUUGUAUAUUUCUUGCUUCCAGUAAUUAUUUUAUAGGAUUCUCCCCCUGUUGAAACGAAUCACCGGGUUAAUUUGUAUUUGUGUGAAAGACCUAUCGGGUCCGAGAGUACGCUGAUCAAUUCCAAAUGCUCAAAAUAGAUUUAGUAAUCAUGUACUUAUAGUUAUGCAUAAUCUCAUGGAAAGAAGAUAUGUAAUGAUCCUGUAAUGCAAAUCCUGCUAAAGGUGCGGUUUCGGGAUUAGCUUUGGUUGUAAAAGCAUGUGGAAGUGAUGUCCCAAGGCUCUCAAAUUCAGUGUUCUUCAGAAACUUGGCCAUCCAAGUUGUGGAAGAUUUACUCCCACACGUUUCCGCCACACUGUGCGUUGAAAAUAAUCCCUAUGGGAUAAUAUGACGUGAUAAAAGCUCUCCAACAAAAUACAGAUCCUGUCACCAAGGAUAGAAAUACGUCUGACAUCUCUAUUAAGAAGUUUGAUAACUUGGGAAAAGAUUGAACUUUAGAUCGUCUCUCAGAUUAAAGAGUUUUUAUGGUGGCAGAUUUUGGCACCAUUCAUGCAGUCAGCUCCUAAAGAUUUAGCGGCUGACACUCUUAAGGUAUCAAAAAGCUAGACCACUUUGUCGGUUCCGGCUAAAAAAGGUAAAGCAAACAUGCAUAUUUUGGAUGCCGUUGCCGAUAAUAGAAAAGCCAUCUCUCAACUUCUCUUUGCCAAACGGCACCUCGCCUACCACAGUAGGUUUAAGAGAUUCAUAUCAAUGGUAUAUUGGUCAGCGAUGCAAAUUCAAAAUAUACAUCCGGCGUUGUUAAAUCAGUCACCAUCUUCAUUAGAAACCAUGCAAUCAAUAAAGCUUGAAAAUCAGAGGUGGUAAAUACUCUCUUAUGUGAUCAAGUUUUUGCUAAGACGUUGUAUGCCUCCGUACCACUGUGUAUAGUGGAGGUGGAAGAUUUAACUGCCACUGCUAUUUCGUGGCAGAUGAAAAGGAGGCUGAAGAGUACUGUGCAUAAACAUAUGAACAUUCAUUGGGUGCUUUCCCCAGGACAUGUAUUUGAGAUCCUGUAUGAGGUUUUACACAAAGAAACGUGCUAGAGAAAAUCGUCAUAUACAAUUGCAGGACAAUUCGCGGCGGACUAAGUUUUCGAGAGGAGAACCAAAAGCUCAUGGUUUCAAGAUAAUUUGUACCAAGUCUCAAGCAAUGGAGAAAGAUUUAGACAAUGAAUUGUAGGGAUGCAGUGUUUCUUUAUGGAUGGUAGUAAUUACUUUUUGCAAUCGAUUUAGUCAAUGUAACUGUUGAUAAAGUUGAUAUAAUCCAAGGAAUGUUGUACCGAGAAGUUAUUUUUAAGAAAGGAUUGGUACACUGUCACCUAAA